GCCCUCGUCGUCUAAUGGCAAGGAUACCGGCCCCUCAAGCCGGAGAUGUGGGUUCGAAUCCCACCGAGGGCACCA
This 75-nucleotide transfer RNA is filed under the name marine sediment metagenome. It matches the Rfam family "tRNA". From Rfam's summary of the family: Transfer RNA (tRNA) molecules are approximately 80 nucleotides in length. Their secondary structure includes four short double-helical elements and three loops (D, anti-codon, and T loops). Further hydrogen bonds mediate the characteristic L-shaped molecular structure. tRNAs have two regions of fundamental functional importance: the anti-codon, which is responsible for specific mRNA codon recognition, and the 3' end, to which the tRNAs corresponding amino acid is attached (by aminoacyl-tRNA synthetases). tRNAs cope with the degeneracy of the genetic code in two manners: having more than one tRNA (with a specific anti-codon) for a particular amino acid; and 'wobble' base-pairing, i.e. permitting non-standard base-pairing at the 3rd anti-codon position. The record is from RNAcentral.